This 24-nucleotide non-coding RNA is filed under the name Mus musculus (house mouse). Lineage: Eukaryota; Metazoa; Chordata; Mammalia; Rodentia; Muridae. The record is from RNAcentral.
GCAUAUCCUACUUUUCCUCCCACC